Molecule: ribosomal RNA, 347 nt
Filed under: Gemella haemolysans
Lineage: Bacteria; Bacillati; Bacillota; Bacilli; Caryophanales; Gemellaceae
Description: bacterial SSU rRNA
Rfam family: Bacterial small subunit ribosomal RNA
Source: RNAcentral
GACGAACGCUGGCGGCGUGCCUAAUACAUGCAAGUCGAGCGAAGUUUUUCUGGUGCUUGCACCGGAAAAACUUAGCGGCGAACGGGUGAGUAACACGUAAAGAACCUGCCUCAUAGACUGGGACAACUAUUGGAAACGAUAGCUAAUACCGGAUAACAGCAUUAACUGCAUGGUUGAUGUUUAAAAGUUGGUUUUGCUAACACUAUGAGAUGGCUUUGCGGUGCAUUAGCUAGUUGGUGGGGUAAAGGCCUACCAAGGCGACGAUGCAUAGCCGACCUGAGAGGGUGAUCGGCCACACUGGGACUGAGACACGGCCCAGACUCCUACGGGAGGCAGCAGGAGGGGAA